GAAGGACACUUACCAUGUUCUCAACAGGCUGCACCAUGAUUGCUAGAAAAAUCCUUACUGUAAGAACGCCACUUACAGUCCUCAGUAUCAUGAUUGAUUGAACUAUUAUUGACCCUUUAAGAUAUUGCGAAAAAGUCCAUACUGAAACCGUAUAGUUAGCCGACAGAAGAACACUCGAAUUACAACCUGGAACAAAAGUGCGCGUUUCCUUGAACUGCUGACUAGCUGAGGAAACUGAGGGCGUCUUUGCACUGCAGUAACCUUCGAUUUCAAUUUCCUCAAGAAGUCCAGAUGUACUGUACCCAAACUGGGACUUCAGUGACCUCUCCUUACAACGGACAAAGUAAACAACCAGCAGCACGACAACCCCUAGUAGCCCACCUAUCAGCAGCAGCCAUGGGAGAGUGGAAGGGCUCGGUCCAGUAUCUGUUGCUGGGAGAUGAGAUUAUAUCAGAGGUGUUGGUGAACCCCUCCCGCAGCUGAACUGGCUACAUAGAGGGCACAGCAUGAUCAGAGGUAUGUUUUGAGAUGAAAGAGGAUGCCAACGUCGCCACCUAACCCACUCUUAAGAUAACCUUCGGGCCCACUGGGAGCCCAAGGCUGGUUAGGAGACACCGCUAGAAACUCUAUUAUGUAAUUGUGAUGAACUGAGAGAAUAUUAGGGUAGCACUGUGAUUCAUUAAUCAUAUGCUGUCUUCAUUGCUCCUCUGUUCUUACCUCUUUCCCUUUCUGUCUUUUACACCUCUCUCGCCUCCCCCUCUUUCUUCCUGUUUUUAUAAUGCACACCAGAUGUGCUUUGAAGUACAGAUUGCACUUGUAUUUACAAUAUAUUACAAUUAUAAUAUUUAUAAUGCAUAAGGUAUUUAUAACCCUUGGAUAAUGAACUUCUUUCAAUAAAGCGUUUCACAUUCU
This is a long non-coding RNA of Oncorhynchus mykiss (rainbow trout), 912 nucleotides long. RefSeq lists it as uncharacterized. Lineage: Eukaryota; Metazoa; Chordata; Actinopteri; Salmoniformes; Salmonidae. The record is from RefSeq and is a predicted model, not a curated record.